This 497-nucleotide ribosomal RNA is filed under the name uncultured bacterium. RNAcentral's name for it is "partial 16S ribosomal RNA". It matches the Rfam family "Bacterial small subunit ribosomal RNA", at positions 28 to 507 of the family's 1533-position model. The record is from RNAcentral.
GAUGAACGCUGGCGGCGUGCCUAAUACAUGCAAGUCGAGCGAACAGACGAGGAGCUUGCUCCUCUGACGUUAGCGGCGGACGGGUGAGUAACACGUGGAUAACCUACCUAUAAGACUGGGAUAACUUCGGGAAACCGGAGCUAAUACCGGAUAAUAUAUUGAACCGCAUGGUUCAAUAGUGAAAGACGGUUUUGCUGUCACUUAUAGAUGGAUCCGCGCCGCAUUAGCUAGUUGGUAAGGUAACGGCUUACCAAGGCAACGAUGCGUAGCCGACCUGAGAGGGUGAUAGGCCACACUGGAACUGAGACACGGUCCAGACUCCUACGGGAGGCAGCAGUAGGGAAUCUUCCGCAAAGGGCGAAAGCCUGACGGAGCGACGCCGCGUGAGUGAUGAAGGUCUUCGGAUCGUAAAACUCUGUUAUUAGGGAAGAACAAAUGUGUAAGUAACUAUGCACGUCUUGACGGUACCUAAUCAGAAAGCCACGGCUAACUACGUG